Molecule: ribosomal RNA, 143 nt
Filed under: uncultured eukaryote
Lineage: Eukaryota
Description: partial 18S ribosomal RNA
Rfam family: Eukaryotic small subunit ribosomal RNA
Source: RNAcentral
UGGUGGAGUGAUUUGUCUGGUUAAUUCCGUUAACGAACGAGACCUCGACCUUUAAAUAGUAUCACUAACCCUCCCGGGGUUGGGGCAGACACUUCUUAGAGGGACUAUCGGUUCUUAGCCGAUGGAAGUUCGAGGCAAUAACA